This 507-nucleotide ribosomal RNA is filed under the name uncultured bacterium. RNAcentral's name for it is "partial 16S ribosomal RNA". It matches the Rfam family "Bacterial small subunit ribosomal RNA", at positions 28 to 507 of the family's 1533-position model. The record is from RNAcentral.
GACGAACGCUGGCGGCGUGCUUAACACAUGCAAGUCGAACGGGCCUUGUCCCCUUCUUUUUGGGGGUGGGGUUAGUGGCGAACGGGUGAGUAACACGUGAGUAACCUGCCCCUCACUUCUGGAUAACCGCUUGAAAGGGUGGCUAAUACGGGGUGUUCUGGCCUGCUCGCAUGGGUGGGUUUGGAAAGAUUCGACCGGUUUUGGUUGUUUUGGUGGGGGAUGGGCUCGCGGCCUAUCAGCUUGUUGGUGGGGUGAUGGCCUGCCAAGGCUUUGACGGGUAGCCGGCCUGAGAGGGUGGGCGGUCACACUGGGACUGAGACACGGCCCAGACUCCUACGGGAGGCAGCAGUGGGGAAUAUUGCACAAUGGGCGCAAGCCUGAUGCAGCGACGCCGCGUGAGGGAUGGAGGCCUUCGGGUUGGGAACCUCUUUCGCCAGUGAAGAAGGUCCUGCUCUUUGUGGCGGGGUUGACGGUAGCUGGGUUAAUGAAGCGCCGGCUAACUACGUG